Molecule: transfer RNA, 75 nt
Filed under: Candidatus Moraniibacteriota bacterium
Lineage: Bacteria; Candidatus Moraniibacteriota
Description: Candidatus Moranbacteria bacterium (sediment metagenome) tRNA-Ile
Rfam family: tRNA
About the family: Transfer RNA (tRNA) molecules are approximately 80 nucleotides in length. Their secondary structure includes four short double-helical elements and three loops (D, anti-codon, and T loops).
Source: RNAcentral
GCGCUGGUAGCUCAGUGGCAGAGCACCACUCUUAUAAAGUGGGAGUCGAUGGUUCGAAUCCAUCCCAGCGCACUA